CUGGCAGCACAUUAUUGGUGUGACAAGGUGUUUAAGGCUUUUGUUAAUAAGGGUCUCAAGUGUGUGUGUGUGUGUGUCGCUAUCUGAAAGCAAAGAGCAGCUGUCAAUGUUUGGACACCAUCUGGAUGGCAACAGUGCACCAAAAGGGAUGCAUAUGCAAAUGCUCACAACCCAAUAACAAAAUUAUUGAGUUAGCCAGCAAUACCUGGCUCGACAUGUCCCGAGGUUGGAGAUAUAUUCAUUCUUGAAACAAAGCAACAAAGCAGGAGAGCAGCUUGUUAUGUGUGUAAAUGGUAAUAUGACAAUUCUCCUGUAUCAGAGUCAGAUCACCACUGAAACCAUUUUUUCAGUGCAUCACUACUGCAGUGUCAACACUAGCACCCUCUAUAUCCUUUAUUCAUGUAGUAGGUAUCCUACUGUUUUUUUCAUUUUCUCACCGGUGCUUUAUUUAAUAGCUACAUGCUGAAAAACAACAAGUGUGGCUGAGAAAUCCUGUAAAAUUGCCACAGUAUAUCACUGUGCAAAAGCACAUCACAUGGAUUACAUCAUGGAAAUAUUAAACAAAUAAACAACACACUCAUUCA
Acanthopagrus latus (yellowfin seabream) is the source of this 584-nucleotide long non-coding RNA. RefSeq lists it as uncharacterized. The record is from RefSeq and is a predicted model, not a curated record. The transcript has 2 exons. Lineage: Eukaryota; Metazoa; Chordata; Actinopteri; Spariformes; Sparidae.